UCGGGAAUUUUGGGCAAUGGGCGAAAGCCUGACCCAGCAACGCCGCGUGAAGGAUGAAGUAUUUCGGUAUGUAAACUUCGAAAGAAUGGGAAGAAUAAAUGACGGUACCAUUUAUAAGCUCCGGCUAACUACGUGCCAGCAGCCGCGGUAAUACGUAGGGAGCAAGCGUUGUUCGGAUUUACUGGGCGUAAAGGGCGCGUAGGCGGCGCGGUAAGUCACUUGUGAAAUCUCUGAGCUUAACUCAGAACGGCCAAGUGAUACUGCAGUGCUAGAGUGCAGAAGGGGCAAUCGGAAUUCUUGGUGUAGCGGUGAAAUGCGUAGAUAUCAAGAGGAACACCUGAGGUGAAGACGGGUUGCUGGGCUGACACUGACGCUGAGGCGCGAAAGCCAGGGGAGCAAACGGGAUUAGAUACCCCAGUAGUCCCUGAGCGGGCUGGCAAGGCGCAU
Molecule: ribosomal RNA, 447 nt
Filed under: uncultured bacterium
Lineage: Bacteria
Description: bacterial SSU rRNA
Rfam family: Bacterial small subunit ribosomal RNA
Source: RNAcentral